Non-coding RNA from Pangasianodon gigas (Mekong giant catfish), 72 nucleotides. The record is from the annotation of a GenBank genome assembly. NCBI's taxonomy places the organism in Eukaryota, Metazoa, Chordata, Actinopteri, Siluriformes, Pangasiidae.
UUUUUUUUUUUUUUUUUUAACUACCAUAUGGCACUCUGCUCUUUUUUCUUCUGUGGGAGCUAUAAAAGAUAU